Carassius auratus (goldfish) is the source of this 192-nucleotide long non-coding RNA. RefSeq lists it as uncharacterized. Lineage: Eukaryota; Metazoa; Chordata; Actinopteri; Cypriniformes; Cyprinidae. The transcript has 3 exons. The record is from RefSeq and is a predicted model, not a curated record.
GCAGCUCCAGGCAGGACAGGAAGUGAAGGCAGCAGAAUACAGGACGCAGUCAGGGUUAGUGUAAUAACUCCAGGGAAGACACAGACUGUGAGAACAACAGCAGCAUUGCAGGAAGAUUUUGGAGACCAUAGCAGUCCUCUGCAACACUGGAUAUGAGUGUGCCAUAUACCAUCUGAAGGAACCGGCGGGUCA